UACGUAGGGGGCGAGCGUUAUCCGGAUUUAUUGGGUUUAAAGGGUGCGUAGGCGGGAUGCCAAGUCAGCGGUAAAAAUGCGGUGCUCAACGCCGUCGAGCCGUUGAAACUGGCGCUCUUGAGUGGGCGAGAAGUAUGCGGAAUGCGUGGUGUAGCGGUGAAAUGCAUAGAUAUCACGCAGAACUCCGAUUGCGAAGGCAGCAUACCGGCGCCCUACUGACGCUGAGGCACGAAAGCGUGGGUAUCGAACAGG
RNAcentral lists this ribosomal RNA (252 nucleotides) under uncultured bacterium. RNAcentral's name for it is "partial 16S ribosomal RNA". It matches the Rfam family "Bacterial small subunit ribosomal RNA", at positions 524 to 776 of the family's 1533-position model. The record is from RNAcentral.